AUGACUUAUCCAUUCCUUUUUUUUGUAUUAAUUGAUAUAUUCUUUUUAUUUCAAUAUCUCUCACCAUACCCAUUCCAACACAUAUUAAAAAUACUAUUUUUGAAAGCAGAAAAAAUAUCAACAUAUCUAAUCAAUGUAUUAAAAAGUUUUUAAAAGCCUACCAUGGUGACCACGGGUGACGGGGAAUCAGGGUUCGAUUCCGGAGAGGGAGCCUGAGAACUGCUACCACAUCCAAGGAAGGCAGCAGGCGCGCAAAUUACCCACUCCCGACCUUUGGUGACUCUAGAUA
This 289-nucleotide non-coding RNA is filed under the name Monodelphis domestica (gray short-tailed opossum). Its description in RNAcentral is "Microsporidia small subunit ribosomal RNA". It matches the Rfam family "Eukaryotic small subunit ribosomal RNA", at positions 160 to 466 of the family's 1831-position model. The record is from Rfam by way of RNAcentral. Lineage: Eukaryota; Metazoa; Chordata; Mammalia; Didelphimorphia; Didelphidae.